AACGAACGCUGGCGGCAGGCUUAACACAUGCCAGUCGAGCGCCCCGCAAGGGGAGCGGCAGACGGGUGAGUACCGCGUGGGAACGUACCUUUUGGUUCGGAACAACUCCGGGAAACUGGAGCUAAUACCGGAUAAGCCCUAACGGGGAAAGAUUUAUCGCCGAAAGAUCGGCCCGCGUCUAAUUAGCUAGUUGGUGAGGUAACGGCUCACCAAGGCGACGAUCAGUAGCUGGUCUGAGAGGAUGAUCAGCCACACAGGGACUGAGACACGGCCCAGACUCCUACGGGAGGCAGCAGUGGGGAAUAUUGGACAAUGGGCGCAAGCCUGAUCCAGCCAUGCCGCGUGAGUGAUGAAGGCCUUAGGGUUGUAAAGCUCUUUUGUCCGGGAAGAUAAUGACUGUACCGGAAGAAUAAGCCCCGGCUAACUUCGUG
This 431-nucleotide ribosomal RNA is filed under the name uncultured bacterium. RNAcentral describes it as "partial 16S ribosomal RNA". It matches the Rfam family "Bacterial small subunit ribosomal RNA", at positions 29 to 507 of the family's 1533-position model. The record is from RNAcentral.